CGAUCCGUGGCGGGAGAGUCCCGCCGGAACAGUGUGCGGGCGCCGAAGGAGCAAACCCUCCCCGGGAAUCUCUCAGGCCCAUGUACCGCCGCGGAUAG
RNAcentral lists this non-coding RNA (98 nucleotides) under Arthrobacter alpinus. RNAcentral's name for it is "Glycine sequence". It matches the Rfam family "Glycine riboswitch aptamer". From Rfam's summary of the family: This family represents the bacterial glycine riboswitch. The record is from Rfam by way of RNAcentral. Lineage: Bacteria; Bacillati; Actinomycetota; Actinomycetes; Micrococcales; Micrococcaceae.